RNAcentral lists this ribosomal RNA (427 nucleotides) under uncultured bacterium. RNAcentral's name for it is "partial 16S ribosomal RNA". It matches the Rfam family "Bacterial small subunit ribosomal RNA", at positions 355 to 774 of the family's 1533-position model. The record is from RNAcentral.
UGGGGAAUAUUGCACAAUGGGCGCAAGCCUGAUGCAGCCAUGCCGCGUGUAUGAAGAAGGCCUUCGGGUUGUAAAGUACUUUCAGCGAGGAGGAAGGCGUUGUGGUUAAUAACCGCAACGAUUGACGUUACUCGCAGAAGAAGCACCGGCUAACUCCGUGCCAGCAGCCGCGGUAAUACGGAGGGUGCAAGCGUUAAUCGGAAUUACUGGGCGUAAGGCGCACGCAGGCGGUCUGUCAAGUCGGAUGUGAAAUCCCCGGGCUCAACCUGGGAACUGCAUCCGAAACUGGCAGGCUAGAGUCUUGUAGAGGGGGGUAGAAUUCCAGGUGUAGCGGUGAAAUGCGUAGAGAUCUGGAGGAAUACCGGUGGCGAAGGCGGCCCCCUGGACAAAGACUGACGCUCAGGUGCGAAAGCGUGGGGAGCAAACA